AUGCAUCAGAGUGUCAGUUACCAUCGCGAUGCGGGAAGUACGGUCUUUGUGAGGACAGCCAAUGUGUGGGUUGUCCCUCACCUAAUGGACCAGCACUGGCCUGGAGCAAGAGCUGUGAGGCACCUAAGGUAUCAUCAUGUGCUGCAAAGGACUUUCACUAUAGUAAAAUGGAAGGAGUUGAUCAUUUUAUGGUGAAAUACACGAGGGGAGAUGGAGCUGUGAAACAAAGUGACUGUGAGAUGAAAUGCAGCAGGGACUGCAAGUGUCUGGGCUAUUUCUAUCAUCUUGACACUUCAAGGUGUUGGAUUGCAUAUGAUCUUAAAACUCUCACCAGAGGUGACAACUCCAAGCAUUUGGCCUAUGUGAAGGUGCCUAAUUAGUACCUGCUGAAUUUACCUGUGGCUAAUAAUAUGGAUUUCGACGUGUUUUACUUUGCCUGUAUUGGCUUUAUUCUGAUUUGUUUGUUCGAACUGCAAUUUUACUUUUUUUUAAUGGCAAGUUGUUCAACGAAUUACUGUUAUGCAAUGAGAAAAAGGGGAUUUUGAUAAAAAGUAGACCAAUCUAUUGUUUUUUUAUAAAAGUUUCGUAGCAUAUAUUUUAUAGAUUAGUUCAGUUUUGCAUGCACCUUAAUUGGAAUAACAUAGUAUAUACAGUUAAAAAGUAAAAACAAAUAUUUUAGUUGAAGUAUUAAAAUUUUAGUUUUAGGACUGUCUUCGAAAGUAUCAGUGAUAAUUUAUUUUUUUUAUAAAAUUACAAAUUGUUAGAUAGCGGCAUUUCGUUCCCGUACUCUGAUUUUAAUGUUAGAAGAAUACAGUCAGCAAUUUUUACGAUCUCAAAUGUAGUUUUGUUUAUACUUUACUAUAAAAGUAAAUGAUACAACUUGAAUCAGUUUUAAAAUAAAUUUUUGAUGAAAAUAGAAAACCAUUUUUUAUAUUGCAUAAGCCGCAGGUCUCAUUGAGCUAAAAAAUUGCAUUUUUAAUUCUUUUUCAUAAGGAUGUAUUUAUAAAAAUGAUUUUUGAAUAAUUUUUCUCAGUUUAUUCAAAACAAUAUCAAAAAUUAUUAAAAACCAAUUGUUGAAUGGAACGCAAAUAAUUUGAAUAUAAUUAUGCAGAACACAUCAAAUAAAGAACAAACGAGACUGAGCAAAUAUAUACAAGCCAUUUCAAUUGAUUUCGAUGCUUAUCCGUCCACCAACAACAAAUGACUUGUUUUUCGUAUGAAAAGUUUCCUGGAUAUAAAAAAGUUACAACUCCCGGACAAUAAUUUCUUUUAAAUUUAAAGCCCAAAUUCUCAACACACUCGUAUUUGCCUAAUACAGGGAUUUUAGUAGAAAAAAGCAACUGUAAUGUAUUCGUCGCUAAACAUAUCAUCAAAUGACUUCUUUAAUGUUCCAUGUUUGGUAAAAGUAGUAUUUUUGAAUUUUAGCCGAUUAAAUUAAUUUUAACUAAAUUUGUAUUUACCAUAUAAUUAUAAAAUAUCCAAAAAAUAUAUAAGUAAGAUAUAAUAAAUUUUAAAAUAUAAUUUUUAAAAUUUUAAAUUAUAUAAAAAUUAUUAUCAAAAUUCAACCAAUAUCUGGCAAUUUUAACCUCCAGUUCAACCCAUCAAAAUUAAAAUAAACGUAUCUUGAAAAGAUUGGAAUUAUAUUUUUGGACUGUUUUAUUUUUGUGUAAUAAGAUUUUUAGCCUGUAAUGAUUUACUGAACCUAUUCAAUGAUUGCUAUAUGUUUUUUAGUUAAUGCUUUUGUGUCAUGUAUUAAAUAAUUAUUAUAUAUAUAUAUAUUAAUUUCACUUUUUUAUUUUUCUUUUUUUGAACAAAAGGUAAAAAUAUUAGUACUUGGUUAAUGAUUAUUUAAUAAAUAAUUUUGAAACUUAUUUUUACCAGGUUAUUUUCUUCCCGUAAUUCUUAGGUGCAGCUUUUGAGCAGAAAAAAGUUUACAUCAGCAAUUUUUUUGGGCAUACAAAUUAAAGUAUUCAGUUAAAUAAUAACCGAAAUUAUUUCAGAUUUUAUAUGUAUCAUGUGUAGAUCUUAUUGUCCACAUUUCUGUAGUAUUAUUUCUUGGAUUAGAUGAUAGAAUUAUUGGAUGAAGAAUACUCUUUUCUACAAAUAUUAAUCCUUAGGUAUCAUCCGUUAACAUAAAAAGUAGUUUUGCCAACCAAAAACAAAAAGCUGGCCGAAUUGAAUGAAUAUAUUUAUGACAGAAUAAAUCUUAUUUAAAUUUAUAUAAUUUAUUAUAUAUUAACUCAUCCAAAUAUAUACUUAGAAACAAUUUUCCAUAUAUAAAAAAUGUCUUAGAUUUUAAAAUCGAGCUCCUUCAAAGUCGUAUUUGUCUGAUUACGCGGACUUCUAGUCCAAAAAACAAACCAGCAGGUGAACACGGUCCCAACAAGCACAAUUUAUAUUGUAUUCCUCACUAAAUUAACACACGAUUAUUGUCUACAAACGACGACGGCUGCUGGUCUUUUUUAACAUUUGUUUUCCUUCCAAAUUAUUGUUAUAUAUAUUUACAAACAAAAAGCAUCUCGGUUAAUUAAUUUAUUGCCAAGAUAUAUCACAGGCUGCUGAUGUAUUUAAUUUGAAGAUGCCCGACUUAGAAAUAUUGUACACUAUUGUUUAAUCUUGUAAGAAGUAUAUACAGAAAACUUUCUUCACACUUAAUGUUUCUAUAUAUCCAGUUAGCCAACUUUUUUAGACUAGUAUCUAUCGAAAUUGCUUCUAUAAGUAAUAAGCAUGCUUUCCUCAAAACAUGAACAACUCGAAACAUGGCCUCUAUGCAUAGAUUAAACCUUGCAAUCCUAUUUCUCUUCAUUCAAACACUCUCCUUGAGCUUUUGUCAAGCCACUGUUCCUGCCAAUGAAACAUUCAAGUAUGUAAAUGAAGGAGAGUUGGGUGAAUACAUUAGUGAAUAUCUCGGUGAUUACCGAGCUCUAAGUGUCUUCACUUCUCCAUUUCAACUUUGCUUCUAUAACCAAACACCUACGGCCUUCACCCUUUCUCUUCGUAUGGGCUUAAGGCGCACCGAGUCGCGUAUGCUCUGGGUUUGGGAAGCUAAUAGAGGGAACCCCGUUGAUGAGAAGGCCACUUUCUCAUUCGGAACUGAUGGAAACCUAGUCCUUGCUCAUUCCAAUGGGAAAGUUGCAUGGGAAAGUGCUACGGCCAACAAAGGUGUCGUGGGUUUCAAGUUACUCCCUGAUGGAAAUAUGGUGCUUUAUGAUUCUAAAGGCGCGUUUUUAUGGCAAAGCUUUGAUUCUCCUACGGAUACUCUCUUAGUUGGCCAGUCUCUCCGCGUGGGAGCUGCCACAAAGCUUGUCAGCAGGGCUUCUCGGAAUGAAAAUGUGAAUGGGCCUUAUAGCCUUGAAAUGGAGCCCAAGGGAUUAACUAUGUAUUAUACUCCUGCUAACUCUCCAAGGCCUAUGCCUUAUUUCACAUUCUCACAGUGGUUUAACAUAACCAAAGGGGCCACUAUACAGAACAUGACAUUUCUAAGCGAAAAUGAGUAUGGUGAAGGUUUUGCUUAUAAUCUACAAUUUGGCUUGGGCGUUGCUAAUUCCCCCUACAGCGCUGGCGGCAUCCUUUCCAGGAUCAAAUACAAUACGACAUUGUCAUUUCUAAGGUUAGCAAUGGAUGGGAACAUAAAGAUAUAUACUUAUAAUGACAAAGUUGAUUAUGGUGCAUGGGAAGAAACAUAUACAUUGUUUUCGAGAGAUUCUGAUGCAUCGGAGUGUCAGUUACCGACGAGAUGUGGGAAGUUUGGGCUUUGCGAGGACAGUCAAUGUGUGGGUUGUCCAUCACCUAACGGGCCAGUUUUGGCUUGGAGCAAGAGCUGUGAGGCACCUAAGGUAUCAUCAUGUGCUGCCAAGGACUUUCACUAUAAUAAAUUGGAAGGAGUUGAUCAUUUCAUGGUGAAAUACACAGAAGGAGAUGGACCUGUGAAACAAAAUGACUGUGAAAUGAAAUGCACCAGAGACUGCAAGUGUUUAGGAUACUUCUAUCAUCUGGACACGUCAAGAUGUUGGAUUGCUUAUGAUCUUAAAACUC
RNAcentral lists this long non-coding RNA (4035 nucleotides) under Daucus carota (carrot). RNAcentral describes it as "long non-coding RNA (DCAR_LNC001536)". Lineage: Eukaryota; Viridiplantae; Streptophyta; Magnoliopsida; Apiales; Apiaceae. The record is from RNAcentral.